This 2989-nucleotide ribosomal RNA is filed under the name Salmonella enterica subsp. enterica serovar Typhimurium. Its description in RNAcentral is "23S ribosomal RNA". It matches the Rfam family "Bacterial large subunit ribosomal RNA". The record is from RNAcentral. Lineage: Bacteria; Pseudomonadati; Pseudomonadota; Gammaproteobacteria; Enterobacterales; Enterobacteriaceae.
GGUUAAGCGACUAAGCGUACACGGUGGAUGCCCUGGCAGUCAGAGGCGAUGAAGGGCGUGCUAAUCUGCGAUAAGCGCCGGUAAGGUGAUAUGAACCGUUAUAACCGGCGAUACCCGAAUGGGGAAACCCAGUGUGAUUCGUCACACUAUCAUUAACUGAAUCCAUAGGUUAAUGAGGCGAACCGGGGGAACUGAAACAUCUAAGUACCCCGAGGAAAAGAAAUCAACCGAGAUUCCCCCAGUAGCGGCGAGCGAACGGGGAGGAGCCCAGAGCCUGAAUCAGCAUGUGUGUUAGUGGAAGCGUCUGGAAAGGCGCGCGAUACAGGGUGACAGCCCCGUACACAAAAGCGCAUGUGCUGUGAGCUCGAUGAGUAGGGCGGGACACGUGGUAUCCUGUCUGAAUAUGGGGGGACCAUCCUCCAAGGCUAAAUACUCCUGACUGACCGAUAGUGAACCAGUACCGUGAGGGAAAGGCGAAAAGAACCCCGGCGAGGGGAGUGAAAAAGAACCUGAAACCGUGUACGUACAAGCAGUGGGAGCACAGGUUUACCUGUGUGACUGCGUACCUUUUGUAUAAUGGGUCAGCGACUUAUAUUCUGUAGCAAGGUUAACCGUAUAGGGGAGCCGGAGGGAAACCGAGUCUUAAUUGGGCGUUAAGUUGCAGGGUAUAGACCCGAAACCCGGUGAUCUAGCCAUGGGCAGGUUGAAGGUUGGGUAACACUAACUGGAGGACCGAACCGACUAAUGUUGAAAAAUUAGCGGAUGACCUGUGGCUGGGGGUGAAAGGCCAAUCAAACCGGGAGAUAGCUGGUUCUCCCCGAAAGCUAUUUAGGUAGCGCCUCGUGAAUUCAUCUCCGGGGGUAGAGCACUGUUUCGGCUAGGGGGCCAUCCCGGCUUACCAACCCGAUGCAAACUGCGAAUACCGGAGAAUGUUAUCACGGGAGACACACGGCGGGUGCUAACGUCCGUCGUGAAGAGGGAAACAACCCAGACCGCCAGCUAAGGUCCCAAAGUCAUGGUUAAGUGGGAAACGAUGUGGGAAGGCCCAGACAGCCAGGAUGUUGGCUUAGAAGCAGCCAUCAUUUAAAGAAAGCGUAAUAGCUCACUGGUCGAGUCGGCCUGCGCGGAAGAUGUAACGGGGCUAAACCAUGCACCGAAGCUGCGGCAGCGAACGUAUCACUUAAAGCGAUUCAGCGGGUUACGAUUGACGGAGCGAAGCGACGUCAAAGCGUAUACAAAGUCGAGUCGGUUUAAGGAUACGUUCGUUGGGUAGGGGAGCGUUCUGUAAGCCCGUGAAGGUGGCCUGUGAGGGUUGCUGGAGGUAUCAGAAGUGCGAAUGCUGACAUAAGUAACGAUAAAGCGGGUGAAAAGCCCGCUCGCCGGAAGACCAAGGGUUCCUGUCCAACGUUAAUCGGGGCAGGGUGAGUCGACCCCUAAGGCGAGGCCGAAAGGCGUAGUCGAUGGGAAACGGGUUAAUAUUCCCGUACUUGGUGUUACUGCGAAGGGGGGACGGAGAAGGCUAUGUUGGCCGGGCGACGGUUGUCCCGGUUUAAGCGUGUAGGUGUGUGUUCCAGGUAAAUCCGGUUCACUUUAACACUGAGGCGUGACGACGAGGCACUACGGUGCUGAAGCAACAAAUGCCCUGCUUCCAGGAAAAGCCUCUAAGCAUCAGGUAACACGAAAUCGUACCCCAAACCGACACAGGUGGUCAGGUAGAGAAUACCAAGGCGCUUGAGAGAACUCGGGUGAAGGAACUAGGCAAAAUGGUGCCGUAACUUCGGGAGAAGGCACGCUGACACGUAGGUGAAGUGAUUUACUCAUGGAGCUGAAGUCAGUCGAAGAUACCAGCUGGCUGCAACUGUUUAUUAAAAACACAGCACUGUGCAAACACGAAAGUGGACGUAUACGGUGUGACGCCUGCCCGGUGCCGGAAGGUUAAUUGAUGGGGUCAGCGCAAGCGAAGCUCCUGAUCGAAGCCCCGGUAAACGGCGGCCGUAACUAUAACGGUCCUAAGGUAGCGAAAUUCCUUGUCGGGUAAGUUCCGACCUGCACGAAUGGCGUAAUGAUGGCCAGGCUGUCUCCACCCGAGACUCAGUGAAAUUGAACUCGCUGUGAAGAUGCAGUGUACCCGCGGCAAGACGGAAAGACCCCGUGAACCUUUACUAUAGCUUGACACUGAACAUUGAGCCUUGAUGUGUAGGAUAGGUGGGAGGCUUUGAAGUGUGGACGCCAGUCUGCAUGGAGCCGACCUUGAAAUACCACCCUUUAAUGUUUGAUGUUCUAACGUGGACCCGUAAUCCGGGUUGCGGACAGUGUCUGGUGGGUAGUUUGACUGGGGCGGUCUCCUCCUAAAGAGUAACGGAGGAGCACGAAGGUUGGCUAAUCCUGGUCGGACAUCAGGAGGUUAGUGCAAUGGCAUAAGCCAGCUUGACUGCGAGCGUGACGGCGCGAGCAGGUGCGAAAGCAGGUCAUAGUGAUCCGGUGGUUCUGAAUGGAAGGGCCAUCGCUCAACGGAUAAAAGGUACUCCGGGGAUAACAGGCUGAUACCGCCCAAGAGUUCAUAUCGACGGCGGUGUUUGGCACCUCGAUGUCGGCUCAUCACAUCCUGGGGCUGAAGUAGGUCCCAAGGGUAUGGCUGUUCGCCAUUUAAAGUGGUACGCGAGCUGGGUUUAGAACGUCGUGAGACAGUUCGGUCCCUAUCUGCCGUGGGCGCUGGAGAACUGAGGGGGGCUGCUCCUAGUACGAGAGGACCGGAGUGGACGCAUCACUGGUGUUCGGGUUGUCAUGCCAAUGGCACUGCCCGGUAGCUAAAUGCGGAAGAGAUAAGUGCUGAAAGCAUCUAAGCACGAAACUUGCCCCGAGAUGAGUUCUCCCUGAGACUUAGAGUCUCCUGAAGGAACGUUGAAGACGACGACGUUGAUAGGCCGGGUGUGUAAGCGCAGCGAUGCGUUGAGCUAACCGGUACUAAUGAACCGUGAGGCUUAACCUU